This 493-nucleotide ribosomal RNA is filed under the name uncultured bacterium. RNAcentral describes it as "bacterial SSU rRNA". It matches the Rfam family "Bacterial small subunit ribosomal RNA", at positions 21 to 507 of the family's 1533-position model. The record is from RNAcentral.
GGCUCAGGAUGAACGCUAGCGGCAGGCUUAAUACAUGCAAGUCGUGGGGCAGCAUGAGUAGCAAUACUUGAUGGCGACCGGCAAACGGGUGAGGAACACGUACACAACCUUCCUUCAAGCGGGGAAUAGCCCAGUAGAAAUUUGGAUUAAUACCCCAUAAUAUAUUUGAUAAGGCAUCUUAUUAAUAUUAAAGCUUCGGCACUUGAUGAUGGGUGUGCGGCUGAUUAGAUAGUUGGCGGGGUAACGGCCCACCAAGUCUACGAUCAGUAGCUGAUGUGAGAGCAUGAUCAGCCACACGGGCACUGAGACACGGGCCCGACUCCUACGGGAGGCAGCAGUAAGGAAUAUUGGACAAUGGACGAAAGUCUGAUCCAGCCAUGCCGCGUGAAGGAUUAAGGUCCUCUGGAUUGUAAACUUCUUUUAUAUGGGACGAAAAAAGGGCAUUCUUGUUCACUUGACGGUACCAUAUGAAUAAGCACCGGCUAACUCCGUG